GUUGUUCAAGACUACCGACUGUAUGAAACCUCUGCCUGUUCACUCCCCCUCCAUCUCUUCAACCAAACCAAACAAAUCUAUUCAGGACUGGAGAAUAGAGGACCAGCCGAACAUUGUCAAUUUGUCUUCAUGAGCUGAAUGAAAUCUCAAUUUGUAAUUAAAUUUGAGUUUUUGAAGAAGAAAAAAAUAAUUUAACGAAAAUUUUCGAUUCCACCAAUUGUUAAUUUUCAAAGAAAAUGAAGAAUUUAAAACAUUUCUUGUAUGAAAUUCAUGUACGCUGUAAAGUGUACAUAAUAUUUGUUUCAGAAUUAUUUGUUUACAAUGCUGUUGUACCGAAGUUUGGGGUUAAACCGGUUUUCUUUUGGAAGCCGGUUUUAUUCUAAAAUGAUAAUACCACAUCCUUCUUCUUCAAGAAGAUUGGUGGAUAGAGAAUUGGCGACUAAAGUUAGUUCAGAAAUAUCCAGUAUAAACUCAAGAUUAG
This is a long non-coding RNA of Eurytemora carolleeae, 481 nucleotides long. RefSeq lists it as uncharacterized. The record is from RefSeq and is a predicted model, not a curated record. Lineage: Eukaryota; Metazoa; Arthropoda; Copepoda; Calanoida; Temoridae. The transcript is spliced from 3 exons.